Sphaerodactylus townsendi is the source of this 839-nucleotide long non-coding RNA. RefSeq lists it as uncharacterized. Lineage: Eukaryota; Metazoa; Chordata; Lepidosauria; Squamata; Sphaerodactylidae. The transcript has 3 exons. The record is from RefSeq and is a predicted model, not a curated record.
GUCAAAUAGCAGGGAGAAAAGCUGAGAAUUGGCCAUUAUUUACAGAACUACCGGAAACAAAGUCUUCUGCAACACAAAAGAAGUCCUUUUUUGAUGGUGACACGCUCUAUGUUGCUAUGUAUUCAUGUUGCACAAUUCUUAUCCUGGGAUUAGUUUUGCUGGCUUUACUUAAAACCAGAGAUUUUGCAAAGCAGGCUAAGAACCCAUCACCUGCUCAUCUAUCAGAGAGGCUUAUGAUUCCUCAGCAACCAUGGGUCGUCAACUGUGUGGAUAACAAUCUUUCAGGCUCCUCUUGCAGCCAACCCCUUACAAUUCUAUCAUGAAAGACCUCUUGAAAAAAUGACUAACAUUAUACUCUUCUGCCUCUUCAUCAAGUGCUUAGCAUCUCAUUAUAUGAGAGAGCACCCAGAGAGUACGAUUUCACCAUGUAUUGUUUGCUGCAAUAUCAUGAUGAUGUGCAUUGAGACCUUGUGCAUGAUGUACUGCCGGGGAGCUGUCUGAGGUUGGAACUACAUGUUCUCUUGGUAAAGUCAUAUUCUGAAACACGAGUUGUCCCAUCAAUUCUUCCUUGCAAAUGGGAUCACCUCCCUCCCCUCAAGCUUGAGAACAGUGGUCUGGGGGACAAUUAUAACAAAAAGACGCACGGGGUAUGGGCGGGGUUAGAUAAGUAUCCUGUUCUACCUGCCAUUUCUCCUCCCCACCCCAUAUUUUAAAAAUUAUCCAAUUUCUCUGCCCCCAACUAUUUAAGAGUUGUGCUCUUGACGUAACUGGGAAUGGUAUUGUUGCCCAAAUAAUGUUCUGUGUCAGGUCUGUCAAGUGGAGAACACCCCCAAAAUGUG